GCUUUCAACAUCCCCGUCUCAGAGGCGCAGGACGGCAUAGGCGUUGGCCGAUGCUUAACGACCUCGAGAGACUGAAGGC
Molecule: small RNA, 79 nt
Filed under: unclassified sequences
Description: NAD+-I sequence
Rfam family: nadA riboswitch
Source: Rfam by way of RNAcentral